Carica papaya (papaya) is the source of this 643-nucleotide non-coding RNA. The record is from RefSeq and is a predicted model, not a curated record. NCBI's taxonomy places the organism in Eukaryota, Viridiplantae, Streptophyta, Magnoliopsida, Brassicales, Caricaceae.
UGCUUCUUCGUUCUUCACUGCAGCUUCCAUCGUCCUCUUCUCAUCUGCUUCUGCUUCUUCCGCUUCCAUAUUCUGCUUCUGCUUGUUGCGAGACGAGCCAGAGGACCCGGAGGAUUCACUCGCCGGCGAUGCUCUUGAUCGAUCCUCCGGUGAUCGCUGCUCCACGAGGAAGAUCGUUAGGUCGCAGUGCAAGACCGAGGAGGUUGAGCCCGGAAGAUUCAUUAGCAAGUGUGAGAAAACGGAAGAGAUUCUCAGAGACUGUAUUGGAAAGAAUUUCAGAUUGUUCUUGUUGGGCCCAGAAAGUUUCUCCAUAGUAGUCGGAAACACUUGUACUCUCCAAGAAGCCUGUAUUCAACUCUGCAAACAGCUUCAUCAUUUCCAUGCUCAUAUCCAUCUCUGAGUAAAAAUCAACGGUGCUAAUUAAAGCUCUUCAAUUCUGUCUACACUGUAAUAUGCCUCAAUUAUUUUGCUUUCAGAGGGAUUUAGAAGGAAAUACAUAUAUAGAUAUAUAGAGAGUAGGAAACCAGUGAUGUAUGAAUGAAUAUAUCUCUAUGAAUUAUGAUUAAUAUUUUGUCAUUAACAAGUGGGGUAUCUCUGUAACUUUGGUUUUCCUUUGUACUCAAGUAAAAACCGAGUUUACACA